This 497-nucleotide ribosomal RNA is filed under the name uncultured bacterium. Its description in RNAcentral is "partial 16S ribosomal RNA". It matches the Rfam family "Bacterial small subunit ribosomal RNA", at positions 28 to 507 of the family's 1533-position model. The record is from RNAcentral.
GAUGAACGCUGGCGGCGUGCCUAAUACAUGCAAGUCGAGCGAACAGACGAGGAGCUUUCUCCCCUGCCGUUAGCGGCGGACGGGCGAGUAACACGUGGAUAACCUUCCUCUUAGACUGGGAUAACUUCGGGAAACCGGAGCUACUACCGGAUAAUAUAUUGAACCGCUUGGUUCAAUAGUGAAAGACGGUUUUCCUGUCUCAUAUAGACGGAUCCGCGCCGCAUUAGCUAGUUGGUAAGGUAACGGCUUACCAAGGCGACGAUGCGUAGCCGACCUGAGAGGGUGAUCGGCCACACUGGAACUGAGACACGGUCCAGACUCCUACGGGAGGCAGCAGUGGGGAAUCUUGCACAAUGGGCGAAAGCCUGACGGAGCAACGCCGCGUGAGUGAUGAAGGUCUUCGGAUCGUAAAACUCUGUUAUUAGGAAAGAACAAAAGUGGAAGUAACUAUGCACGUCCUGACGGUACCUAAUCAAAAAGCAACGGCUAACUACGUG